AGAGUUUGAUCAUGGCUCAGGAUGAACGCUGGCGGCGUGCCUAAUACAUGCAAGUCGAGCGAACAGAUAAGGAGCUUGCUCCUUUGACGUUAGCGGCGGACGGGUGAGUAACACGUGGGUAACCUACCUAUAAGACUGGGAUAACUUCGGGAAACCGGAGCUAAUACCGGAUAACAUUUGGAACCGCAUGGUUCUAAAGUGAAAGAUGGUUUUGCUGUCACUUAUAGAUGGACCCGCGCCGUAUUAGCUAGUUGGUAAGGUAACGGCUUACCAAGGCGACGAUACGUAGCCGACCUGAGAGGGUGAUCGGCCACACUGGAACUGAGACACGGUCCAGACUCCUACGGGAGGCAGCAGUAGGGAAUCUUCCGCAAUGGGCGAAAGCCUGACGGAGCAACGCCGCGUGAGUGAUGAAGGGUUUCAGCUCGUAAAACUCUGUUAUUAGGGAAGAACAAAUGUGUAAGUAACUGUGCACGUCUUGACGGUACCUAAUCAGAAAGCCACGGCUAACUACGUGCCAGCAGCCGCGGUAAUACGUAGGUGGCAAGCGUUAUCCGGAAUUAUUGGGCGUAAAGCGCGCGUAGGCGGUUUCUUAAGUCUGAUGUGAAAGCCCACGGCUCAACCGUGGAGGGUCAUUGGAAACUGGGAAACUUGAGUGCAGAAGAGGAAAGUGGAAUUCCAUGUGUAGCGGUGAAAUGCGCAGAGAUAUGGAGGAACACCAGUGGCGAAGGCGACUUUCUGGUCUGUAACUGACGCUGAUGUGCGAAAGCGUGGGGAUCAAACAGGAUUAGAUACCCCGGUAGUCC
RNAcentral lists this ribosomal RNA (806 nucleotides) under uncultured bacterium. RNAcentral's name for it is "bacterial SSU rRNA". It matches the Rfam family "Bacterial small subunit ribosomal RNA", at positions 8 to 796 of the family's 1533-position model. The record is from RNAcentral.